AUUGAACGCUGGCGGCAGGCCUAACACAUGCAAGUCGAGCGGAUGAAGGGAGCUUGCUCCUGGAUUCAGCGGCGGACGGGUGAGUAAUGCCUAUGAAUCUGCCUGGUAGUGGUGGAUAACGUCCGGAAACGGGCGCUAAUACCGCAUACGUCCUGAGGGUGCAAGUGGGGGAUCUUCGGACAUCACGCUCUCAUGUGGGCCUAGGUGGGAUUAGCUAGUUGGUGGGGUAAAGGCCUACCAAGGCGACGAUCCGUAACUGGUCUGAGAGGAUGAUCAGUCACACUGGAACUGAGACGGGGUCCAGACUCCUACGGGAGGCAGCAGUGGGGAAUAUUGGACAAUGGGCGGAAGCCUGAUCCAGCCAGGCCGCGUGUGUGAAGAAGGUCUUCGGAUUGUAAAGCACUUUAAGUUGGGAGGAAGGGCAGUAAGUUAAGACCUUGCGGUUUUGACGGUACCAACAGAAUAAGCACCGGCUAACUUCGUG
This 484-nucleotide ribosomal RNA is filed under the name uncultured bacterium. RNAcentral describes it as "partial 16S ribosomal RNA". It matches the Rfam family "Bacterial small subunit ribosomal RNA", at positions 30 to 507 of the family's 1533-position model. The record is from RNAcentral.